Molecule: ribosomal RNA, 434 nt
Filed under: uncultured bacterium
Lineage: Bacteria
Description: partial 16S ribosomal RNA
Rfam family: Bacterial small subunit ribosomal RNA
Source: RNAcentral
AGCGAACGCUGGCGGCAGGCUUAACACAUGCAAGUCGAGCGGGCAUAGCAAUAUGUCAGCGGCAGACGGGUGAGUAACGCGUGGGAACGUACCUUUUGGUUCGGAACAACUGAGGGAAACUUCAGCUAAUACCGGAUAAGCCCUUACGGGGAAAGAUUUAUCGCCGAAAGAUCGGCCCGCGUCUGAUUAGCUAGUUGGUGAGGUAAUGGCUCACCAAGGCGACGAUCAGUAGCUGGUCUGAGAGGAUGAUCAGCCACAUUGGGACUGAGACACGGCCCAAACCCUUCCGGAGGGCGGAAUGGGGGAUUAUGGGACAUUGGGCGCAGGCAGAAUCCACCCUGGCCGGGUAGUUGUUGAAGGCCUAGGGUUGUAAAGCUCUUUUGUGCGGGAAGAUAAUGACGGUACCGCAAGAAUAAGCCCCGGCUAACUUCGUG